GGGAGCGGGGGAUCCAGGGCACGACGCCCAAAACGGUCGCCUGACCGUCGUGCCUAGCGAGCGGCGAGACCGGCCCCACCGUGC
This 84-nucleotide non-coding RNA is filed under the name unclassified sequences. Its description in RNAcentral is "c-di-GMP sequence". It matches the Rfam family "c-di-GMP-II-GAG riboswitch aptamer". The record is from Rfam by way of RNAcentral.